UACGGAGGGUGCGAGCGUUGUCCGGAAUCACUGGGCGUAAAGGGCGCGUAGGCGGCGCGGGGAGUCAACGGUGAAAGCUCGGCGCUCAACGCCGAGUCGGCCGUCGAUACUCCCGUGCUCGAGCACUGUAGAGGCAGGUGGAAUUCCGGGUGUAGCGGUGGAAUGCGUAGAGAUCCGGAAGAACACCGGUGGCGAAGGCGGCCUGCUGGGCAGUAGCUGACGCUGAGGCGCGACAGCGUGGGGAGCAAGCAGG
RNAcentral lists this ribosomal RNA (253 nucleotides) under uncultured bacterium. RNAcentral describes it as "partial 16S ribosomal RNA". It matches the Rfam family "Bacterial small subunit ribosomal RNA", at positions 524 to 776 of the family's 1533-position model. The record is from RNAcentral.